UGGCUACAGGACGAACGCUGGCGGCGCGCUUAAUACAUGCAAGUCGAACGAGAAGCCAGAGCUUGCUCUGGUGGAAAGUGGCGAACGGGUGAGUAACACGUGAGAAACCUGCCCCAAAGAUUGGGAUAAGCCUUGGAAACGAGGUCUAAUACCAAAUACCUUCCUUUUAACACAUGUUAAAAGAGAAAUGCUCCGGCGCUUUGGGAUGGUCUCGCGAUCUAUCAGCUUGUUGGUGAGGUAACGGCUCACCAAGGCAUCGACGGAUAGCUGGUCUGAGAGGAUGUCCAGCCACAUUGGAACUGAGACACGGUCCAAACUCCUACGGGAGGCAGCAGUAGGGAAUCUUGCACAAUGAGGGAAACCUUGAUGCAGCGACGCCGCGUGCGGGACGAAGGCCCUAGGGUUGUAAACCGCUUUCAGUAGGGACGAAAGUGACGGUACCUACAGAAGAAGCCCCGGCCAACUAUGUG
RNAcentral lists this ribosomal RNA (470 nucleotides) under uncultured bacterium. Its description in RNAcentral is "bacterial SSU rRNA". It matches the Rfam family "Bacterial small subunit ribosomal RNA", at positions 26 to 507 of the family's 1533-position model. The record is from RNAcentral.